AACCCAUUUCUGCUUUCUAGAAUGUCAGUGUCAGUUUUCUGCCGACAUUCUGGAAAGCAGAAAUGG
Molecule: microRNA precursor, 66 nt
Filed under: Trypanosoma congolense IL3000
Lineage: Eukaryota; Euglenozoa; Kinetoplastea; Trypanosomatida; Trypanosomatidae
Source: RNAcentral